UCCAGCCUGCCCAGUGACAAAAUUCAACGGCCGCAGUAUCCUAACUGCGCGAAGGUAGCGUAAUCACUUGUUCUUUAAAUAAGGACUAGUAUCAACGGCAUCACGAGGGUCGCACUGUCUCCUCCCCCCAAUCAGUGAAACUGAUCUCCCCGUGAAGAAGCGGGGAUGUUAUCAUAAGACGAGAAGACCCCAUGGAGCUUUAAACCUCAACAACUCUGAUAUAUAAUCCACCACAGCUUACAGAAUCAUGCAUAAAGGUUUUAGGUUGGGGCGACCGCGGAGUAAAAAUUAACCUCCACAACGAAAAGAACUAAAUCUUUAUCUAAGUAGCUACCCCUCUAAGUAAUUAGUACACUAACGAACAGUGAUCCGAUAAUCGAUCAACGGACCGAAGUUACCCUGGGGAUAACAGCGCAAUCUACUUCAAGAGCCCUUAUCGACAAGUAGGCUUACGACCUCGAUGUUGGAUCAGGGUAUCCUAGUGGUGCAACCGCUACUGAUGGUUCGUUUGUUCAACGAUUAAAACCCUACGU
This 533-nucleotide ribosomal RNA is filed under the name Rhacophorus catamitus. Its description in RNAcentral is "partial 16S ribosomal RNA". It matches the Rfam family "Bacterial large subunit ribosomal RNA", at positions 1853 to 2601 of the family's 2925-position model. The record is from RNAcentral. Lineage: Eukaryota; Metazoa; Chordata; Amphibia; Anura; Rhacophoridae.